CAGAAUAUAGUUUAUUAAAAAUAUUAGUUUUGGAGACUAAAGAAAUAUUGUUUUAUUAUUCUGA
Molecule: transfer RNA, 64 nt
Filed under: Kilauella sp. KispEL
Lineage: Eukaryota; Metazoa; Arthropoda; Insecta; Psocodea; Elipsocidae
Description: tRNA-Pro
Source: RNAcentral